GGAGGCUUAGCUCAGCUGGGAGAGCAUCUGCCUUACAAGCAGAGGGUCGGGGGUUCGAUCCCCUCAGCCUCCAUCA
This 76-nucleotide transfer RNA is filed under the name Paenibacillus polymyxa. RNAcentral describes it as "tRNA-Val". It matches the Rfam family "tRNA". Rfam says of the family: Transfer RNA (tRNA) molecules are approximately 80 nucleotides in length. Their secondary structure includes four short double-helical elements and three loops (D, anti-codon, and T loops). Lineage: Bacteria; Bacillati; Bacillota; Bacilli; Caryophanales; Paenibacillaceae. The record is from RNAcentral.